GACGAACGCUGGCGGCGCGCCUAACACAUGCAAGUCGAACGAGCGAGAGAGAGCUUGCGUUUCUCAAGCGAGUGGCGAACGGGUGAGUAACGCGUGAGGAACCUGCCUCAAAGAGGGGGACAACAGUUGGAAACGACUGCUAAUACCGCAUAAGCCCACAGCUCGGCAUCGAGCAGAGGGAAAAGGAGUGAUCCGCUCAAAGAUGGACUCGCGUCCGAUUAGUUAGUUGGUGAGGUAACGGCUCACCAAGACCGCGAUCGGUAGCCGGACUGAGAGGUUGAACGGCCACAUUGGGACUGAGACACGGCCCAG
Molecule: ribosomal RNA, 312 nt
Filed under: uncultured bacterium
Lineage: Bacteria
Description: bacterial SSU rRNA
Rfam family: Bacterial small subunit ribosomal RNA
Source: RNAcentral